This 497-nucleotide ribosomal RNA is filed under the name uncultured bacterium. Its description in RNAcentral is "partial 16S ribosomal RNA". It matches the Rfam family "Bacterial small subunit ribosomal RNA", at positions 28 to 507 of the family's 1533-position model. The record is from RNAcentral.
GAUGAACGCUGGCGGCGUGCCUAAUACAUGCAAGUCGAGCGAACAGACGAGGAGCUUGCUCCUCUGACGUUAGCGGCGGACGGGUGAGUAACACGUGGAUAACCUAUCUAUAAGACUGGGAUAACUUCGGGAAACCGGAGCUAAUACCGGAUAAUAUAUUGAACCGCAUGGUUCAAUAGUGAAAGACGGUUUUGCUGUCACUUAUAGAUGGAUCCGCGUCGCAUUAGCUAGUUGGUAAGGUAACGGCUUACCAAGGCAACGAUGCGUAGCCGACCUGAGAGGGUGAUCGGCCACACUGGAACUGAGACACGGUCCAGACUCCUACGGGAGGCAGCAGUAGGGAAUCUUGCGCAAUGGGCGAAAGCCUGACGGAGCAACGCCGCGUGAGUGAUGAAGGUCUUCGGAUCGUAAAACUCUGUUAUUAGGGAAGAACAAAUGUGUAAGUAACUAUGCACGUCUUGACGGUACCUAAUCAGAAAGCCACGGCUAAAUACGUG